UAGGGAAUCUUCCGCAAUGGGCGAAAGCCUGACGGAGCAACGCCGCGUGAGUGAUGAAGGUCUUCGGAUCGUAAAACUCUGUUAUUAGGGAAGAACAAAUGUGUAAGUAACUAUGCACGUCUUGACGGUACCUAAUCAGAAAGCCACGGCUAACUACGUGCCAGCAGCCGCGGUAAUACGUAGGUGGCAAGCGUUAUCCGGAAUUAUUGGGCGUAAAGCGCGCGUAGGCGGUUUUUUAAGUCUGAUGUGAAAGCCCACGGCUCAACCGUGGAGGGUCAUUUGAAACUUGAAAACUUGAGUGCAGAAGAGGAAAGUUGAAUUCCAUGUUGAGCGGUGAAAUGCGCAGAGAUAUGGAGGAACACCAGUGGCGAAGGCGACUUUCUGGUCUGUAACUGACGCUGAUGUGCGAAAGCGUGGGGAUCAAACAGG
RNAcentral lists this ribosomal RNA (429 nucleotides) under Actinomycetes bacterium. RNAcentral's name for it is "Actinobacteria bacterium partial 16S ribosomal RNA". It matches the Rfam family "Bacterial small subunit ribosomal RNA", at positions 355 to 776 of the family's 1533-position model. The record is from RNAcentral. Lineage: Bacteria; Bacillati; Actinomycetota; Actinomycetes.